Small nuclear RNA from Pseudophryne corroboree (corroboree frog), 105 nucleotides. The record is from RefSeq and is a predicted model, not a curated record. NCBI's taxonomy places the organism in Eukaryota, Metazoa, Chordata, Amphibia, Anura, Myobatrachidae.
CAUAUACAAAAAAAAUUAAAUUAAAAAAAUGGAACAAUACGGAGCAGAUUAGCAUGGCCCCUAUGUAAGGAUGACGUGCAAAUUCAUGAAAUGUUCCAUCAUACA